ACAUCUCCCUCUCCUCUCCUGAGUCUCUCUCCUCACUGCACCUGAGUCCUCUACUACUGACAACAUGGGCUGUGGCUGUGGUGGUGGCUGUGGCUGUGGCAGCUGUGGCUGCGGCUGUGGAGGUUGUGGCUGCGGAGGUUGUGGCUGCGGUGGCUGUGGCUGCGGUGGCUGUGGCUGCGGUGGCUGUGGCUGCGGAGGUUGUGGCUGCGGAGGCUGUGGCUGCGGUGGCUGUGGCUGCGGUGGCUGUGGCUGCUGUGGUGGCUGCUGCGGCUGCUGUGGCUGCUGCAAGCCUGUGGUAGUCUGCUGCUGCCGCCGCUGCUGCUGCCGCUCCUGUGGCUGUGGCUCCUGUGGCUGUGGCUGUGGCUGUGGGAAGGGCUGUUGCCAGCAGAAGUGCUGCUGCCAGCAGAAAUGUGGCUGUAAGAAGUGCUGCUGCUAGCAUGGUUCUUGGCUCUGGUUCUAAGCUACAAAACGCUUGAGGGCUUGCUCAUUGCAUUUGGUAAGACUUUUUGGCCACUGUUGACUUUCCGUCCUUCUUACCUACCCAUCCUGUUGGUUUCCCUCCUUCUCAUCUACCCACUGGAAAUGUUCUUUCUGUCUUUUGUGAAUUCUCAGGCUUGUUUCUUCACUUUUUUAAGAAAUCAAUGCUCAUGCAAUUCCUUCUUCCUGUCUUCUGGAACUUAUUACUCAAUAUGUAUAUAUUUGCUGUGAUCUUUCUAAUUUUGACUAGCAUAUAUUCUCAACACCAUGGGUAAAGGCAAAGCUGUUUGUCUCCAAAAAUGUAUUUAUAUUAUGAGCUUAACCAUGAAAAUCCCUAAUAGGUUACUUUGUUGAAAAAAAAAAAAAAGUUAUGGCUAACUUUUUACUCUUUCAUAAUAUGUAUUCACUAACUUCUUUCCUACCUGUACAACUUUGUUUAAAAGAAAAGCAACUCAUUGUCAACAAAUAAAUAAAUAAAAACUAACCUA
This 965-nucleotide long non-coding RNA is filed under the name Mus pahari (shrew mouse). Its description in RNAcentral is "lncRNA (MGP_PahariEiJ_G0005980.1)". The record is from RNAcentral. Lineage: Eukaryota; Metazoa; Chordata; Mammalia; Rodentia; Muridae.